This 82-nucleotide transfer RNA is filed under the name Chlamydia suis. RNAcentral describes it as "tRNA-Leu". It matches the Rfam family "tRNA". From Rfam's summary of the family: Transfer RNA (tRNA) molecules are approximately 80 nucleotides in length. Lineage: Bacteria; Pseudomonadati; Chlamydiota; Chlamydiia; Chlamydiales; Chlamydiaceae. The record is from RNAcentral.
GCCCAGGUGGUGAAAUUGGUAGACACGCUGGAUUUAGGAUCCAGUGCUUCACGGCAUGUAGGUUCAAGUCCUAUCCUGGGCA